GACAUUACAGACUUUGCCAAGCUAGCAU
RNAcentral lists this non-coding RNA (28 nucleotides) under Cricetulus griseus (Chinese hamster). The record is from RNAcentral. Lineage: Eukaryota; Metazoa; Chordata; Mammalia; Rodentia; Cricetidae.